UUGAACCUGAGUGAUAUAUGACUGCUUUAGAAUCUACCAUUUUAUAGUCAAGAAAUCUACCGACUAUGAAUUUUUUCAUGCCAGCAUCUUUAGUUUUAUAUUUCUUGUCUAAAGAUUCCCAAAGUUCCUUUGCAGUUUGAAUUGUACAAUACACAUUAUACAGUGUAUUGUCUAAUCCAUUCAUUACAUAAUUUCUGCAAAGGAUAUCGGCAUGUUUCCAUGCAUCAACUGGAGCCACCUUUUCCUUGUUUGUUUCUCCUUCAACAAGAGUAGGACAGUCCUCUUGUAGAAACCUUGCCAAAUUCAAUGUUGUGAGAUAG
This 320-nucleotide long non-coding RNA is filed under the name Panax ginseng (ginseng). RNAcentral's name for it is "long non-coding RNA (PGIN_LNC002896)". Lineage: Eukaryota; Viridiplantae; Streptophyta; Magnoliopsida; Apiales; Araliaceae. The record is from RNAcentral.